This 679-nucleotide ribosomal RNA is filed under the name Oppomorus funiculatus. RNAcentral's name for it is "Morula funiculata partial 16S ribosomal RNA". The stretch from base 1 to 510 matches the Rfam family "Bacterial large subunit ribosomal RNA", at positions 1944 to 2925 of the family's 2925-position model. Lineage: Eukaryota; Metazoa; Mollusca; Gastropoda; Neogastropoda; Muricidae. The record is from RNAcentral.
GACCGUGCAAAGGUAGCAUAAUCAUUUGCCUUAUAAUUGAAGGCUUGUAUGAAUGGUUUGACAAGAAUAGAUCUGUCUCUUUACAAUUAAAUAUAAUUUUAUUUUCAGGUGAAGAAGCCUGAGUUAAAUUGAAAGACAAGAAGACCCUAUCGAGCUUGAAAGCAAUUAAUAAAGCCAAAAUCAUGUUAACAUUGAACAAAUUAUUAAAAAUUUUAGUUGGGGCGACAAAGGAACAAAUAAAGCUUCCUUGUAUUAUAAACACAGACAAGUAAUGAUCCAAAUAUUUUGAUUAAAGAAAUUAGUUACCGUAGGGAUAACAGCAUUAUCUUUUUUAAGAGCUCAAAUCGAAAAAAAGGUUUGUGACCUCGAUGUUGGACCAGAAUAUCCUAAAGAUGCAGCCGUCUUUAAGGGUUGGUCUGUUCGACCAUUAAAAUUCUACGUGAUCUGAGUUCAGACCGGCGUGAGCCAGGUCAGUUUCUAUCUUCAAUUUUUUAAUGUGGACUUAGUACGAAAGGAUUAGUCUAUAAUAAGAAUUAUUAUGCUUGAUGAAGUAUAAAGAAGAAUUUAGUAAAUAAAAAUUUAUAUAGAUCAAAUUAGCAAAGAUAAUGCAAUUGACUUAGGAUCAAUAGACAUAGGUGAAACUCCUUUAUUUGAUAUAUUUAUAAAGAUGGCAGAUAAA